RNAcentral lists this non-coding RNA (105 nucleotides) under Gemmatimonadota bacterium. Its description in RNAcentral is "Gemmatimonadetes bacterium TPP sequence". It matches the Rfam family "TPP riboswitch aptamer (THI element)". From Rfam's summary of the family: Vitamin B(1) in its active form thiamin pyrophosphate (TPP) is an essential coenzyme that is synthesised by coupling of pyrimidine and thiazole moieties in bacteria. The previously detected thiamin-regulatory element, thi box was extended, resulting in a new, highly conserved RNA secondary structure, the THI element, which is widely distributed in eubacteria and also occurs in some archaea. Lineage: Bacteria; Pseudomonadati; Gemmatimonadota. The record is from RNAcentral.
GCGAAGCGACAGGGGUGCUCGCCCGACAGACCCGGGCGAGCUGAGAUCACACCCUUUGAACCUGAUCCGGCCAGCACCGGCGAAGGGAGUCGUAUGGAUUGCGUG